Molecule: ribosomal RNA, 34 nt
Filed under: Boletus edulis
Lineage: Eukaryota; Fungi; Basidiomycota; Agaricomycetes; Boletales; Boletaceae
Also listed under: 2 other names
Description: partial 28S ribosomal RNA
Source: RNAcentral
UGACCUCAAAUCAGGUAGGACUACCCGCUGAACU